Bombus impatiens (common eastern bumble bee) is the source of this 1011-nucleotide long non-coding RNA. RefSeq lists it as uncharacterized. Lineage: Eukaryota; Metazoa; Arthropoda; Insecta; Hymenoptera; Apidae. The transcript is spliced from 2 exons. The record is from RefSeq and is a predicted model, not a curated record.
UUUUACAUUUUUCUCGAUACUGUCUUCAGACCUGUCUGCAACGAAUUUUUGAAAUUUUGAUCGAAUAUAUUGCAUAAUGUAUUUUGCAAUGUAGCAUAGAUGUUUUUUGAUGACUUAAUUAAUAAAAAAUGUUCUACAUUUUAUUGAAGAUUCUAGUUUAUCAAUUAAAGGAUGUUUUUUUUAUUGUGAACUUCUUGUUUGAAUAUGAAUUCGAGUUAUUGUUUCUAUUUUCAAACUCUUCAGAAUAGAUAAAGAAUAAUGUAUUUUCUUAUGUUUAGUAGAUAUUUUUUUCCAUAUUCAAAUGUAUAUGUACAUAUUUCCGUCGGACAACAUGGUAUCUCUAUUUCCGACGCGUGCUGCCACCUGGCAACUAACUACAAAAUUUCCAAAGCGACUGCAAGAGCGACCGACAAGACAUGAAUAAAAGUAAAAGCAAAGUGAAAAUGGCAAAAUAAUGAAAAAGAAGACUUACGCUUUCCUUUGACUGCAAACGACACUGAAAUCUCUGCAGGUUCACCAGACUGCAACUCUCCCUCUUUCUCGUUCACACCGCUGUCUUGCUCCUCACGAUCGUGCAGGUGCGAGGAUAAUCCGCGACGUAGCGGCCGGACAACGGUCAGCGCGGCUGCGCCCAGCCGUUUCAACCCUCUCUGCGUCGCGCGACUCAUCGUGCAACCACCCCGACGAAACGAAAGUGAAUGGCCCGUAGCGUGUACGAUCAAAACGCGACACCGCGUUCGAUAAAAGGGACUAUUGGAGAAGAAAUGUCCCGCGUAUAAUUAUUCAAGAUGGAUUACUUGUUUCUUUCUCUUUAUAAUAAUGGAUGUUGUCAUUUCGAGUAUUUUCAAUGGCAUUUUUUCUUCACGACGCAUACUGAGAUAUUUGCAUCGAUAUGCCGGAAAGAAUUAUUUUUGUACGCAAAUCAUAUUGAAUUGAAGUGAAUUUUUAUUUUCGUACAGGAUAAACAGAUGAGAUAACUACCUAAUAAAAGAUGUAGCUAUAUCUUGAAAU